This 1259-nucleotide ribosomal RNA is filed under the name Salmonella enterica. RNAcentral's name for it is "partial 23S ribosomal RNA". It matches the Rfam family "Bacterial large subunit ribosomal RNA", at positions 464 to 1637 of the family's 2925-position model. The record is from RNAcentral. Lineage: Bacteria; Pseudomonadati; Pseudomonadota; Gammaproteobacteria; Enterobacterales; Enterobacteriaceae.
GGCUAAAUACUCCUGACUGACCGAUAGUGAACCAGUACCGUGAGGGAAAGGCGAAAAGAACCCCGGCGAGGGGAGUGAAAAAGAACCUGAAACCGUGUACGUACAAGCAGUGGGAGCACAGGUUUACCUGUGUGACUGCGUACCUUUUGUAUAAUGGGUCAGCGACUUAUAUUCUGUAGCAAGGUUAACCGUAUAGGGGAGCCGUAGGGAAACCGAGUCUUAACCGGGCGUUAAGUUGCAGGGUAUAGACCCGAAACCCGGUGAUCUAGCCAUGGGCAGGUUGAAGGUUGGGUAACACUAACUGGAGGACCGAACCGACUAAUGUUGAAAAAUUAGCGGAUGACCUGUGGCUGGGGGUGAAAGGCCAAUCAAACCGGGAGAUAGCUGGUUCUCCCCGAAAGCUAUUUAGGUAGCGCCUCGUGAAUUCAUCUCCGGGGGUAGAGCACUGUUUCGGCUAGGGGGCCAUCCCGGCUUACCAACCCGAUGCAAACUGCGAAUACCGGAGAAUGUUAUCACGGGAGACACACGGCGGGUGCUAACGUCCGUCGUGAAGAGGGAAACAACCCAGACCGCCAGCUAAGGUCCCAAAGUCAUGGUUAAGUGGGAAACGAUGUGGGAAGGCCCAGACAGCCAGGAUGUUGGCUUAGAAGCAGCCAUCAUUUAAAGAAAGCGUAAUAGCUCACUGGUCGAGUCGGCCUGCGCGGAAGAUGUAACGGGGCUAAACCAUGCACCGAAGCUGCGGCAGCGAACGUAUCACCCAAGACAACUUUACGGAGUUGACGAUUGACGGAGCGAAGCGACGUCAAAGCGUUCAUUAAAGUCGAGUUGGCUUAGGGAUACGUUCGUUGGGUAGGGGAGCGUUCUGUAAGCCUGUGAAGGUGUGUCGUGAGGCAUGCUGGAGGUAUCAGAAGUGCGAAUGCUGACAUAAGUAACGAUAAAGCGGGUGAAAAGCCCGCUCGCCGGAAGACCAAGGGUUCCUGUCCAACGUUAAUCGGGGCAGGGUGAGUCGACCCCUAAGGCGAGGCCGAAAGGCGUAGUCGAUGGGAAACGGGUUAAUAUUCCCGUACUUGGUGUUACUGCGAAGGGGGGACGGAGAAGGCUAUGUUGGCCGGGCGACGGUUGUCCCGGUUUAAGCGUGUAGGUGUGUGUUCCAGGUAAAUCCGGUUCACUUUAACACUGAGGCGUGACGACGAGGCACUACGGUGCUGAAGCAACAAAUGCCCUGCUUCCAGGAAAAGCCUCUAAGCAUCAGGUAACAC